Long non-coding RNA from Megalobrama amblycephala (Wuchang bream), 840 nucleotides. RefSeq lists it as uncharacterized. The record is from RefSeq and is a predicted model, not a curated record. The transcript has 3 exons. Lineage: Eukaryota; Metazoa; Chordata; Actinopteri; Cypriniformes; Xenocyprididae.
AGAAGCUACUGCGCAUGCCCAUAGUCAAGUCAGAUUUUUACAGUCUAUGUUCGUCGGACUUCAAGUGCAAAUGCAAUUUUCUCCUGAUGUUUUCCGUUUCACGGAAACAGCAUAGGAGACUGACAAGGAAGAGAAGAGAUUGAAUAAAGGUCUUACGGGUGUGGAACAACAUGAGGUUAGGCUGAAGCACCGCACAAAAGCCACAGAUCUGGGAUGUGUGAAGCAGACAUCACUCGGGUGUAAUGGUCAGGUAAGUGCACAUCAUCAUACAUCUUGAACAAAGAAACAAUACUUUGUACUGUUGAACCACCAAUAAGAAAAAAAUGGUCAUACAUUAUUGUUUUUUUACUCAGUCAUGCAACACAUUUAAUCAAAACAUCAACAGAAUUUUCAUUUUGGUGAACCUCCCCUAUAAAUGCAGGACUGGUUUACUCUGUGAGGAGGUUUUGUUAAUUUAUAUUUUAUUGAUGUUAGGGUGUUAGGCAAGCAGACAGUUCUCGUUUCAGUUCUUCGAGUCUGUCAGCAAAACAGGAAACAUGUCUUAAGUAAGAUCAGAAAAAAUAAAAUAGAGAGAUAGAAAAAUAGUACAUUCCCAGAAAGUGUAAAAUGUAUGAAGAAAGUGUAAAACUCUUGCAGUUCAAAAAGCUUAUGAUACAUCCUUCGCGUUCUCUAUUCAAAUCACGGAAAAAGUGUAACUGACGCAACACCAGUUUACACUUUCCUCGUAACUUGAAUAUGAAAGACUGUCUGGCGGAAGCUAGAUAUUUUACUGCAUGACUUGUUAAAUCUGAAUAUUUUUUUACACAAAUGCAUCACUUCGCUUCAGAAGGCUUUUAUUAA